This 74-nucleotide ribozyme is filed under the name unclassified sequences. RNAcentral's name for it is "HDV ribozyme from F. prausnitzii". It matches the Rfam family "HDV ribozyme from F. prausnitzii". The record is from RNAcentral.
GCUGCCCGAAACUUUGCACACCUCUUCGUGGUGGGUAGUAGGCAACACAAGCGAUUGUGGCUAAGAAUGCAGAG